Molecule: ribosomal RNA, 363 nt
Filed under: Veillonella parvula
Lineage: Bacteria; Bacillati; Bacillota; Negativicutes; Veillonellales; Veillonellaceae
Description: bacterial SSU rRNA
Rfam family: Bacterial small subunit ribosomal RNA
Source: RNAcentral
AACCGACUGCUAAUACCCGCAUACGAUCUAAUCUUGGCAUCGAGGAUAGAUGAAAGGUGGCCUCUACAUGUAAGCUAUCACUGAAGGAGGGGAUUGCGUCUGAUUAGCUAGUUGGAGGGGUAACGGCCCACCAAGGCGAUGAUCAGUAGCCGGUCUGAGAGGAUGAACGGCCACAUUGGGACUGAGACACGGCGCAGACCUCUACGGGAGGCAGCAGUGGGGAAUCUUCCGCAAUGGACGAAAGUCUGACGGAGCAACGCCGCGUGAGUGAUGACGGCUUCGGGUUGUAAAGCUCUGUUAAUCGGGACGAAAGGCCUUCUUGCGAAUAGUGAGAAGGAUUGACGUACCGGAAUAGAAACACCC